This is a long non-coding RNA of Orcinus orca (killer whale), 4313 nucleotides long. RefSeq lists it as uncharacterized. The transcript has 3 exons. NCBI's taxonomy places the organism in Eukaryota, Metazoa, Chordata, Mammalia, Artiodactyla, Delphinidae. The record is from RefSeq and is a predicted model, not a curated record.
CUGGCCCCUGGGGCAGGCGCACACACAGAACGCCGUGCCCCUGCAGGGACAUCGGGAGACCCGGCUUCCACCUCCGUCCCACAAGUCCAGCCACCACCCAAGAGGCCUGUUUCCCCAAACACCCUCUAAGGGCCCUAUAAAGUGAGAGCAGGUUCGCACUGUUUUAUCCGACAUUCAAAAAAGCCCUCAAAGUGAAAGUUUUUCAUCCCUGGUUUGACCCGCCACGAAGCUAUUCAGUGUCUUGAUCCCAACGAUUCCAGGUAAAGACACGGAGCCCAGGAGUGACGGGCCACCCGGGCACGAGCGAGCGGCGGAGCCCGGACUGAAGCCUGGGCAGCGAGGUUCUAGAACCUUCCGCACGUUUGCACCAGUGAUGACGGAUCUCAUUGGAGGCUUGGAACCCGAGUGCCCCGGGUGGGCAGGGCAGGUGAAGGCCUGCCCGGCCGCUGGCUCUGGAACUGUGGUUGUCAUGGUUUGUAACUAAUGGAUGAAAUGUGAUGGGCCUGCGCUGGGCACUGAGGGGGAGAGUGAACAAAGUGGUCCUGACAAGGAUUCCCCCACGUCUCGCGUCUUAGAGACGAGCUGGGGGCAUCCAGGCAGAAGGUGUAGACAGAGGGGACAUGGGGGCCAGUGAGGAGGCCUGAGCAGGGACUAGGGUGUGGCUGGAGUAGAAGCAGAGAGCAGGCCCCCAGGUUUCUGGCUUGCACAAACCGGGAAGAGUGCAAUGGGGGAGGGGGAAUUCAGGAGCCCCAGUCCUUUCCAAGCUGUUGUUGAUAUCAGUGUCAUCGGGGCGCUGAGGAGGUGAGACGCACCGUGUUCGAUGCUUGAUGUAAAAGCAUUAUGCCAGCGCUCCGAGAACCUACCAGCCAGGAGAGAGAACACCUGUUAGAAGGCCUGCCCUGCUCUCUGCACAAGUCACACGUUACAUGAGUCGUGGGCCCCCACUCACCUUGGCAUACAUCACCCAGACUGAGAGUUCAGGCCCUUGUGACAGAGGGUCCUUGCUCAAUCAGUCAGUCAAUCAGUGCACCCUGCCGCCCUCGACUGGGCGCUGGACAGCCAGAGUUCCAGUGAGGCAGGGAGAUGCACCAACAGAUGCAGUGACAGUAGGGCUCUGUGUCAUCAUCACACGUGGCAGAAACCGAGGGAAAGGGCUUGAGUCAUCCUGGGGCAACCAGAGGAGACUCUUUGGAGGGAGCUUUGACAAGAAUCAUCAAAUAGCCGCAAAAUGCGGGGGAGCAGGGCGAUUCGGAUGAAGAGAGGGAUGCGUUCAUCCCUCUCUGUAAGUCUCUUCUCCAUACGACAAAGCUGCACUCAUCAAAACAGCAUGGUAGUGGCACAAAAACAGACAUGAAUCAAUGGAAUGGAAUACAGAGCCUAGAGAUACACCCAUACACCUACUGUCAAUUAAUCUUCGACAAAAGAGGCAAGAAUAUACAGUGGAAAAAAGUCUCUUCAGCAAGUGGUGUUGGGAAAGUUGGGCAGCCUCAUGUAAAUCAAUGAAGUUAGAACACUCCCUCACACCAUACACAAAAAUAAACUCAACAUGGCUCAAAGACUUAAAUAUAAGACAUGAAACCAUAAAACUCCUAAAAGAGAACAGAGGCAAUACAUUCUCUGACAUAAAUCAUACCGAUGUUUUCUUAGGUCAGUCUCCCAAGGCAACAGAAAUAAAAGCAAAAAUAAAUGAGACCUAAGCAAACUUACAAGCUUUUAUACAGCAAAGGAAACCAUAAACAAGACGAAAAGACAACCUACAGACUGGGAGAAAAUAUUUGCAAAUGAUGCAGCCGACGAGGGCUUAAUAUCCAAAAUAUACAAAUAGCUCUUACAAGUCAACAAAAAAAAACCAGACAACCCAAUCAAAAAAGGGGCAGAAGAUCUAAAUAGACAUUUCUCCAAAGAAGACAUACAGACGGUGAACAGGCACAUGAAAAGAUGCUCGAUCACUAAUUAUUAGAGAAAUGCAAAUCAAAACUACAAUGAGGUAUCACCUCACACCGGUAAGAAUGGCCAUCAUCAAAACGUGUACAAAUUACAAAUGCUGGAGAGGGUGUGGAGAAAAGGGAACCCUCUUACACUGUCAGUGGGAAUGCAAAUUGGUACAGCCACUAUGGAAAACAGUAUGGAGGUUCCUCAAAAAACUAAAAAUAGGGUUGCCAUAUGAUCCAGCAAUCCCACUCCUAGGUGUGUAUCUGAACAAAACUAUAAUUCAAAAAGAUACAUGCACCCAGAUGUUCGUAGCAGCACUAUUCACAAUAGCUAAGACAUGGAAACAACCUAAAUGUCCAUUGACAGAUGAAUGGAUAAAGAAGAUGUGGUGUAUAUAUAAUGGAAUAUUACUCGGCCAUAAAAAGGAAUGAAAUAAUGCCAUUUGCAGCAACAAGGAUGGACCUAGAGAUUUUCACACUAAGUGAAGUAAGCCAGACAGAGGAAGACAAAUACCGUAUGAUAUCACUUAUAUGUGGAAUCUAAAAUAUGAUGCAAUACGAAAAAAUGAAUACGAAAUGUUCUACGAAACAGAAACAGACUCACAGACAUAGAGAACAGACUUGUGGUUGCCAAGGGGGAGGAGGGUGGGGAGGGACGGUUUGGGAGUCUGGGAUUAGCAGAUGCAAACUAUUAUAUAUAGAACGGAAAACAACAAGGUCCUACUGUAUAGCACAGGAAACUAUAUUCAAUAUCCUGUGAUAAACCAUAAUGAAACAGAAUAUGAAAAGAGUGUAUAUGUAUGUAUAACUAACUCACUUUGCAGUACAGCAGAAAUUAAACACAACAUUGUAAAUCAACUAUACUUCAAUAAAAUAAAUUUAAAAAAUAAAAAAGUGAAAGUCUCUUCCCACAGACUAUUAUUAGAGUGGAUAAAUGAGGCAACAUUUCAGCCAGGUGGGAAAAAUGAACACCACAAUGAGGGGCAGAUGGGUGCCCAGAGAAAGGAUCACUUAUGCCCAGGAAUGCAUAACCUGUGUCUAUACCUGAGGAGCUUCACACAAACCCGAAAUAAGGAACAUUCUAUUAACAGGGGGAGAAAAGGACAGUAUUCUUCAGAAAUAUUAGUGCCAUAAAAAGCUGAUCUGUGGAAAUCUGCCAGACGUGACAACUAAACACAAUGCCUGAUGCUAGACUGGCUCCAGUAGGGCGGAGGGAAUUUUUUUUUACUAUUUAUUUUAUUUAUUUAUUUAGCCUGCACCGGGUCUUGGUCGUAGCAUGCGGACUCUUAGUUGCAGCAUGCAUGCAGGAUCUUAGUUCCCCGACCAGGGAUCAAACCCGGUCCCCCUGCAUUGGGAGCAUGGAGUCUUACCCACUGGACCAGCAGGGAAGUCCCUGGGCAGAGGGAAAUUAUUAGGUCCAUUGACAAAACUGAAAUUCAGACAUAGAUGGAAUAAAUGCAUUGCAUCAAUAUUAAGUUUAUGGGAAUCAGUAGCUGUUCUCUGGUUAUGUAAAAGAAUGUUCUUCUUGGAAAAUUCACACUGAAGUAUUUAGGGGCUACUAUAGACUAAAUAUCUGUGUACCCUAAAAAUUCGUAUGUGGAAACAUAAUCCCCAAUGUCAUGGUAUUAGGAGGUGGGGCCCUUAGGAGGUGAUUAGAUCAUGAGGGCGGAGCCCCCAUGAAUAGGAUUAGUGCCCUGGUUGAAGAGACCCCAGAGACCUCCGUCGCCCCUUCUGCCCUGUGAGGACACAGCGAGAACCAGGAAGCAAACGUCACCAGACCCCAAAUCUGCUGGCACCUCGAUCUCGGACUCCAGUCUCCAGGACUGUGAGAAAUAGAUUUCUGUUAUUUAUAAGACCCCAGUCCGUGGCCUUUUUGUUAGAGCCGCCCCAGUGGACGAUGCCAGGGGUAAAGUGCCACUCUGUAUGCAGCUCACUCUCAAGUACUUCAGAAAAGUAUAUUUUCUGUCUAUAAAACACGGACGGAGAGAGACAGCAAACGAGCAAGCACGGGGGGCAAACUGUUAAUAGCUGAAUCUGGGGAAAGGUAUGCAGUUUGGGUUUUUUUUUUUACUGUACUCAUUCUUGCAAUUAUUCUGUACACCUGAAUGAUUUGCAAAUAAAGAGUACAAGAAAUGAAACUAAGAAAGUAAAAAGCAGUGUGUUCAGCGGAGAGGUCAGAGAGGAAGAGGGGAGGCUGCAGGGGGCGUUCCUGGCAGCAGGAACAGCCAAGGUGAAGGCGCGGAGGACACGCCACCCAGGAGGGCGGCCGGGCAGAGUGUCCCUGUGUCCCUUGCUCCUGGCACUUCUCUGCCAUUUCGACGGCGCGUGGGGUGAGGUCUGGGCCACCCCAGCAGCUAAGCAUCUUAGCCUAGCGGAGGGAGA